Molecule: long non-coding RNA, 1028 nt
Organism: Oreochromis niloticus (Nile tilapia)
Lineage: Eukaryota; Metazoa; Chordata; Actinopteri; Cichliformes; Cichlidae
Exons: 2
Source: RefSeq, a predicted model, not a curated record
CAUAAACUCAGAGGAACCCCACAGCAUGCUGAGGGUGUACAACACGACACAGAACAAGGAACACACAGAGCUUAAAUACAACAGGCAGUAACGAGGGAACGUGUCAGGAUUUGGAGGUUUUACUGGAAAGUUCCAUCAGGCACAUGAGUUCCUUGGUCUCCACCCCUGGGUGGAGUCAUAAUCUCUCCUGCAGUCCUGCACACCUGAGGAUGAUUCUGGGUAAUUAGGUUGAGGAUUUAAGCUCCACUCAGACUCUCCUUCACCACCAGUUUGUCAAUGACCUCAUGUUGGUAUUGGCACUAAGGUUUUUCAUGUGCUUGUUACUUGUUGUUUACUUUUGUUUCCUGUGCCUCCUUUGCCAUUGCCUUCAAUCUCAGCUCUCCCCAUAUUAUCUUCGCAUUCUGGAAAAAUACAAAGAACCUCACCUGCCUCCCCUCCAGCCACCACUCACCACCUCGGACACAGCAGAAGUCAGGUCAGCCAGCCUUUGCCACUACUCACUUGGAUUCUCACCACCUCUCCCUCAAAGCCAAGCUCGCCCCGACUAUCAACACACCUGCUCCGUCCCUGUUGCAACCUGCCAAUUCCCCAUUCACCCCCCCACUGACCCAUGGUCGCAUCAUUAGUAACACUUUGCAACGAAUUCACCUUUUGACUAAUUAAUAAAACACUAUAAAACGUAUGAGCCGUCUCUGUUGUGGUUCUCUACGUUUGAGUCCAGUUUAGCUAUGGGUCUGUGGCCACGGUGACAGAAUGGGGAAGCGGGAGGGAACACAGCUGGGCCUAAUCAGAAAUAACGAGACCGAGGGGAAGCAAAACUGAAUACAGACGGUCAAAGUAAAACAGGAAACAUGAGACGAUUCACAAAGACGCAGACAUUGAGACCUGGAAACAGAGGAAACACGAAGCACAGAUAUAAAAAAGUAACCACAUGUGGAACACAGAAGGUACAGAAAACUGAAACUAGAAGCUAGAAAAAACAAAUUUAACAUGAACAGAAAACCACCAAGAGAACUCAAAACCAUGAA